CAAAGGUUUGGUCCUGGCCUUAUUAUCAGCUGUUUCCCAACUUACACAUGCAAGUCUCAGCACCCCCGUGAGAACGCCCUUUUAACCUUCCCCAGAUAAAGGAGCCGGUAUCAGGCACAGACCCUUGCCCACAACACCUAGUCUCACCACGCCCCCAAGGGUAUUCAGCAGUGAUUAACUUUGCGUAUAAGCGACAGCUUGACUCAGUCAGGGAAAACAGAGCCGGCUAACACGGUGCCAGCCGCCGCGGCUACACCGUGGGCUCAAGUUGAUACUCGCCGGCGUUAAGCGUGAUUAAAGUCCUUAAGAAUUAGGGUCGAAUUAACACUUAGUAGUUUUAUGCUUGUUGUUAAGAAGAACGCAAACGAAAGUUACCCUAAUUUACCUUGAAUACACGACAGCUAGG
RNAcentral lists this ribosomal RNA (406 nucleotides) under Nidirana okinavana (Kampira Falls frog). RNAcentral's name for it is "partial 12S ribosomal RNA". The record is from RNAcentral. Lineage: Eukaryota; Metazoa; Chordata; Amphibia; Anura; Ranidae.